AGGAUACAACUCCAUUUACCAUAAUGCAUUCUGGCCAUUGCUUUUGCGCAGAAGACACGUCCUGACUUUUUAAACCGCCGCACAUGCUUUUCCCGUCUCUUUCACGCUAGUGAGGAACGAAGAACCGAUUGUAGGAAUCUGGUGCGAUGCAGAGGGGGAUGUCACCAUGGCGGCCAUCACGCAAGAAACUUUGGCGUCCAUAUUGCACUGCACUAAAAUGAAGUUUCAGCGGGCCUUGACUGGAAUAGGCGCUUGAAAGCUACCACCCUCCGCUAAUCGGGGAAUCAUGUGAAGCUGGCCAGUUGUGACCCCUAUUUCCUGUGACAUUGUUGGCAGAGUGGGGGAUUCUCAGAUGGCAGUUUGCCAUAUACCAGAAGAAAGACGGUCACAACACGUAUUGAAGGGAAGCGAUGUGGCCUGCCGGUAUCUUCCAACACCCUGGACAGGAUGAGUGAGGACCCAUUUCUGACUGAAAUGGGAGUCUCAACCCAUGAAGACCAGACACCUAAAUGGUUCCCUACAGUAUGUGAGGACUCCCUGUGGCUGUAGGCUAAUUUUCUGAAGAGUUUGUCUACCACUUGAAGUAUCGUCCUUUUUAUGUUUGGUUUAAGAGCAUAAUACAUGGUGAGAACAGAACAGCAACUUUGCUUAUUUGCCUGCAGACUUAAGUAUCCAUCAUUGUCUAGGGACACCAUGGUCUUCCUCUACUACAUAGUGUGCAUGGGAUGCGAUUGUAUAUUAUCCACCUAAUUUAAUUGUUUUUUAAAAAUGUGAACUAAUGUAAACUGGCUCAAUUAGGCUUCUGUGCAAUUCUUCAUGGAAGUGUCUACACCAAAUUGUUUAGCAGCUAACCUGUUGUAAAUUGAGCCUAUGCUGUACUGUAUGAGAUCUUGUGAUAUCUAGGUGGUAUCUUUGAAAUGGGGAAUGUGGAUUCCAGAGACAUCACAAUAAAUCUGCUAGUACUUCAAA
This is a long non-coding RNA of Anguilla rostrata (American eel), 969 nucleotides long. RefSeq lists it as uncharacterized. The transcript has 6 exons. The record is from RefSeq and is a predicted model, not a curated record. NCBI's taxonomy places the organism in Eukaryota, Metazoa, Chordata, Actinopteri, Anguilliformes, Anguillidae.